This 728-nucleotide ribosomal RNA is filed under the name Coreoleuciscus splendidus (Korean splendid dace). Its description in RNAcentral is "partial small subunit ribosomal RNA". It matches the Rfam family "Bacterial small subunit ribosomal RNA", at positions 513 to 1533 of the family's 1533-position model. Lineage: Eukaryota; Metazoa; Chordata; Actinopteri; Cypriniformes; Gobionidae. The record is from RNAcentral.
CACCGCGGUUAAACGAGAGGCCCUAGUUAAUAAUAUUACGGCGUAAGGGUGGUUAAGGAGAGCAAAAUAAUAAAGCCGAAUGGCCCUUUGGCCGUCAUACGCUUCUAGGUGUCCGAAGCCCAACCACACGAAAGUAGCUUUAGCAAAGACCACCUGACUCCACGAAAACUGAGAAACAAACUGGGAUUAGAUACCCCACUAUGCUCAGCCAUAAACCUAGACGUUCAACUACAAUUAGACGUCCGCCAGGGUACUACGAGCAUUAGCUUGAAACCCAAAGGACCUGACGGUGCCUUAGACCCCCCUAGAGGAGCCUGUUCUAGAACCGAUAACCCCCGUUAAACCUCACCACUUCUAGCCACCCCAGCCUAUAUACCGCCGUCGCCAGCUUACCCUGUGAAGGUAAUAAAAGUAAGCAAAAUGGGCACAACCCAAAACGUCAGGUCGAGGUGUAGCGUACGAAGUGGGAAGAAAUGGGCUACAUUUUCUAUUAUAGAAUACUACGAAUAUGCAACAUGAAAUAGUGCUUGAAGGAGGAUUUAGUAGUAAAAAGGAAACAGAGUGUCCUUUUGAACCCGGCUCUAAGGCGCGUACACACCGCCCGUCACUCUCCCCUGUCAAAACGCAAUAAAGAUAUAUAACAAAAAAGCACUGACAAGGGGAGGCAAGUCGUAACAUGGUAAGUGUACCGGAAGGUGCACUUGGAUAAAACCCAGGGCGUGGCUGAG